GAGUGGGCCAGACGGCCGCGUAUGCAUCGCAUGCGAGGAAAGUCCGGGCUCCACAGGGCAAGAUGCCAGCUAACGGCUGGGCGGGGCAACCCGACGGAAAGUGCCACAGAAAAGAAGACUCCCCCGUCUCAACGGGAGAAAAGCUGAAACGGUGCGGUAAGAGCGCACCAGCAUGUCGGCAACGACAUGGCUUGGCAAACCCCAUCUGGAGCAAGCGCAAAUAGGGAUACCAUGCGGUGGCCCGCCGCGUAUCCGGGUUGCGUGCUAGAGGCGGCAGGUGACUGUCGUUCGAGAUAAAUGGCCGUCCUUCGACAGAACCCGGCUUAUCGGUCCGCUCGC
Molecule: RNase P RNA, 339 nt
Filed under: bovine gut metagenome
Description: Bacterial RNase P class A
Rfam family: Bacterial RNase P class A
About the family: Ribonuclease P (RNase P) is a ubiquitous endoribonuclease, found in archaea, bacteria and eukarya as well as chloroplasts and mitochondria.
Source: RNAcentral